Molecule: transfer RNA, 72 nt
Filed under: Bacteroidota bacterium
Lineage: Bacteria; Pseudomonadati; Bacteroidota
Also listed under: 3 other names
Description: tRNA-Arg
Rfam family: tRNA
About the family: Transfer RNA (tRNA) molecules are approximately 80 nucleotides in length. Their secondary structure includes four short double-helical elements and three loops (D, anti-codon, and T loops). Further hydrogen bonds mediate the characteristic L-shaped molecular structure. tRNAs have two regions of fundamental functional importance: the anti-codon, which is responsible for specific mRNA codon recognition, and the 3' end, to which the tRNAs corresponding amino acid is attached (by aminoacyl-tRNA synthetases). tRNAs cope with the degeneracy of the genetic code in two manners: having more than one tRNA (with a specific anti-codon) for a particular amino acid; and 'wobble' base-pairing, i.e. permitting non-standard base-pairing at the 3rd anti-codon position.
Source: RNAcentral
AGGCUUAUGGUGUAAUGGAUAGCAUGCAAGGUUUCGACCCUUGUGGUAUGGGUUCAAAUCCUAUUAGGCCUA